Molecule: ribosomal RNA, 207 nt
Filed under: uncultured bacterium
Lineage: Bacteria
Description: partial 16S ribosomal RNA
Rfam family: Bacterial small subunit ribosomal RNA
Source: RNAcentral
AGCGUAGGCGGAUAGUUUAGUCAGAGGUGAAAGCCCAGGGCUCAACCUUGGAAAUGCCUUUGAUACUGGCUAUCUUGAGUAUGGGAGAGGUAAGCGGAAUUCCGAGUGUAGAGGUGAAAUUCGUAGAUAUUCGGAAGAACACCGGUGGCGAAGGCGGCUUACUGGCCCAUUACUGACGCUGAGGCUCGAAAGCGUGGGGAGCAGACA